This 2616-nucleotide unclassified non-coding RNA is filed under the name Mizuhopecten yessoensis (Yesso scallop). Its description in RNAcentral is "transmembrane protein 8A-like, transcript variant X1". Lineage: Eukaryota; Metazoa; Mollusca; Bivalvia; Pectinida; Pectinidae. The record is from RNAcentral.
CGGGAUUAUUACUCGAUUAUUCAAGUAGCCACAGCAAUGGAGAAUGGUUAUUUUGGGUCGAGAGAUAAUAUGUGCCAUAAUCUUAACGUAGUAUCGGCAAUAAUAACAGUUUUAUUAACACUUACAGAAUGUUCUGGACAAGUUACAGAAACUGUGGAUGUACAGUGGACAACAUCAAUCCGACUCAACGAGUUCCGUGGCUACCAAACAGUCAGUCUAACAUCCUUCCAGGUGCCGCCGGCCACCAUUGAGACCAUCUGGGACAUCCAGUGCUCCUCCAUGCCGGGGCCCUGUCCAGUUCACACAGCACAAGUAUACUUCCAGCAUGGUAGCUAUCCACUUGUAAGUCCAUACAAUGCUUCUUACCCAGCCGACUUCUAUUUGCAUCGGUCUGACCUUCAUUUUGUUGAGGUCAGAACCAACAAUCUCUCUCACCCACAUCAUGUGAUCAGUCCCAAACCGGGGAGGUGGUUUGUCACAGCCUUCCUACCAAAGACAGAGGAAAAAAUCACACAAAAGGGAUUAAACGGAAAAACGUGUGGAUAUGGUAUGGGCAUUCGUUUUAUUAACCGUGUUCUGGGCAACAUUGAGGACGUGUCAAUGACUAAACACUCCAAAAUAUCUUUACGGGCACCGAGCUUGAUGACCAUAGUAAGGUUCCUUCCACCAGAGACAACAACAGGUUACACUCUCUACAUUAGUCAUUGUGUGGUAGACAAUGUUAGCGUCACUGUGUGUCCUCUCAAGGUCACCGUGUCCUCAGAACACAUCCCAAAUUCAGCCUCUGACCCCUCGGAGGACUGUCGGGACCAGAGCUCGGAUUGCCACAUUACUGUUGAGCGACUGGUGACCACCCAGUACAACUAUGUGCAGGUGGAGGUGCCAGAAAACGUCACGGCUUCACUGGUGGAGUUCUACGUCAAUUUUUCACUACUUCGGUGUCAGUUGAGAUACAGACUGGAGGACACAAUGAAACAACGAAGGGGAGUUCUUCACACCCCCGAUUCCAUCAAACAUUUGACCAGCGCAAAAAACAAUAACAUCACCGAUGAUAUGGACGGUGUGCUUCGGUUUAUAUCUGUGAAAUCGAAUGAAUCGGAGAGUCUCCUGAACUACUCCAUAGCCGCUGACAACAACCUAACCCGGUCUUUACGCGCCCACGAGGCUUGUCUAUUCCUGCCAUCACUUGGCACCCUUCGCUUGGCCUCCGAGGACUUUGCCACGCUAUUUGUGUUUCCUGAUGCCCUGCUGUACCCGCAGCCCAACAAUAGGUUAUUUAUCCCGGACAACAUUGUCUUGCUGACUCACUAUAACAUCUUCUCCACGAAGGACUCUGGGGCCACCCUCAAGGUCGAGCUACAGAUGGUGAAAGGUCAGACAGACCCCAGUCAGGAUGCUGUAGUGUGGGUGUGCAUGAUGAAGAACGUGAUUCCGGGGAAACACCUGAUUGAUGAGUGUGAUGGCGGGAUCAAGCUGACUGUCAACUCGUCCGUGCUCGGUCCAACAAUGACAGACAAACUGUAUGUGCCCUACCCUGAGGAGGGUCGCUGGUACUUCGGUCUUCACAGCAUAUGUUUUAACAAGAACAGAACGAUGACCCCAGAGGCUUGCAGACAGCUGCCGAUGGUUUCACUACUGGUGUUUACGUCCCGUUGUGUGGACGAGGAGUGUGGGACAUAUGGCCUAUGUCAGGAGUAUAUCAGUGACCUCCAUGUUUUCAGUGCCUGCUCAUGCUAUGCUGGUUACCGUGGCUAUGGCUGUACCGAUGGUACUGAGGCAGAGACAGACACGAUGCUGCUGGUGACAGCCCUCCUGCUAACCCUCAGUAAUCUCUUCUUCAUCCCCAGUAUCUUUGUAGCCAUCCAUCGACGCCUGUUUGUUGAAGCCCUCGUCUAUUUUUUCACCAUGUUCUUUUCUACUUUUUACCAUGCCUGCGAUACAAAAGACGUGACCCACUACUACUGUAUGAUGAAGUAUGAUGUUCUGAGUUACUGCGACUUCCUCGGCUCCAUCAUGUCCUUCUGGGUGACGAUCCUGGCCAUGGCCCGCCUUUCCUCACCGGUCCGCUCGUUUUUCCACAUGCUGGGUGCCUUGUGCCUUGCCUUAGGCGUGGAGUAUGACCGACACGGCCUCUGGGUGUUUGUUGUACCAGCAGCCUUCGGCAUUAUCAUUAUGUCUAUAUCAUGGGUGCGACAGUGCUGUAUACGGAAAAACUGCUAUCCAUCCAAGUGGCGCUAUGUGAAAUUCCUGUUGCCAGGAGUUCUGUUUGCUGGAACAGGGCUCGUAAUUUUCGCCUUUUUAGAAACAGAGGAGAAUUACAAAUAUACCCAUAGUGCCUGGCAUGUCGUCAUGGCGCUGUGUAUUGUGUUCCUGUUGCCAAGUCGACAAAAGUCUAAAGAUGAUAGUUUGGAGCUUAUAGAUACUGACUUGAAUGGAUCACCUUCAGUCCAGGAAUCUUUGUGUCCGGAGUAAUGAUGAGAAAGGUUAGCUGCUACCAUCAGUGCCCAUCAAUAAAAAGUGAAAAUAAUGGGCCAAACCUUACAUGCAACUGCAGACCCGGGGGGAGGACACCGUCCCACUGAUGGACGAUUAUGACGAUGAAAAUGAUGAUGACGA